Long non-coding RNA from Zea mays, 833 nucleotides. RefSeq lists it as uncharacterized. Lineage: Eukaryota; Viridiplantae; Streptophyta; Magnoliopsida; Poales; Poaceae. The transcript has a single exon. The record is from RefSeq and is marked validated.
AACGAAGCCCCCCCACACACAAAAAAGCAAAAGCAUCAUCACAAUAAUGGCCCGCGCGUGCGUGUUCCUCGUGGUGCUCCUCCUGGCCGCCGUCGCGGUGGCGCCGUUUGCGGGGGCUGCGCGCGUGGAUGUCGUGGAGGGCAGGUCCAUGGCGUCCGCCGACGCGCCUGAGGCGGCGGCUGACGCGCCCGCUCCUGGUCCCGACUCCGCCUCAUCUCCGGACUCGUCGUCGGAGGCGCCCUCCAGCAGCAGCUCAUCCGACUAGCCGCGCACAACGCAGUUCUUGUCAUGAUCUAUCUAGCAAAUAAAAAAGAUCAUGUCUCAUUUGAUUAUCUGGAAUAACUAAUAGUAUAUAUGCUGUGCCCCGGAUGAUAUUUAAAUAUGUGCAUGAAAUGCGUGCGGCAAACGCAUGGAAUGUGCUUGCCGCCUAGCUAAUUGUUGUUGUUUCUUUUUUCUUCUUUACUUUUCUUCAUAUCUGUCUCUCUCUCUCGGUUGUUUAAUUUUUCUUCAUGCAUGUAAUAUAAUAAUGUGAUAUACCCAAUAUAUGCAACGCGCUUUAAUUCUGUGGUGACGAUGACACCAUUUUCUCGGUUUAUUUUAUUUGAACAGACAGAGCAUUGUGUUAUUUUACAGUUCUUGUUCUUGUAUCCAGCAGUUUGCCUUUUGCCGCGCUGCAACGUAGGCCGCGUGCCACAUGCCUCAUUGCCGCCAAGAAACAAAACAAGCAACCAAUGCCAUACACAUGGAUGUCCCAUAUUACUACGUAUAUACAGAGCAAGCAUGUGAUGGCUCGCUGGACCACCCACCUCUCUCUCGAUCGCCUAUCUGACAUG